RNAcentral lists this ribosomal RNA (322 nucleotides) under uncultured eukaryote. RNAcentral describes it as "partial 18S ribosomal RNA". It matches the Rfam family "Eukaryotic small subunit ribosomal RNA", at positions 1470 to 1796 of the family's 1831-position model. The record is from RNAcentral.
CCCUUAGAUGUUCUGGGCCGCAUGCGCGCUACACUGAUGCAUUCAACGAGUGUACCUUGGCCGAGAGGCCUGGGCAAUCUUUUGAACGUGCAUCGUGAUAGGGAUAGAUUAUUGCAAUUAUUAAUCUUGAACGAGGAAUUCCUAGUAAACGCAGAUCAUCAAUCUGCAUUGAUUACGUCCCUGCCCUUUGUACACACCGCCCGUCGCACCUACCGAUUGGAUGGUCCGGUGAAGCCUCGGGAUUGUGGCGGUUGCCUUUAUUGGUGGCCGCCGCGAGAACUUGUCUAAACCUUAUCAUCUAGAGGAAGGUGAAGUCGUAACA